GAGUUAGGGACCCCUGGUGUAUACGUUCUGAAAUGCCAGUAUUUCAAAUCAGGACUAACACUAAAAAGCACAUUACAGUUUUAAACAUUGUGCACCAAGGAUAAUAUUAACACUCCUGAUGACCUGGCAGUUUAGAAAACAAGAGCCUGAGUAUGGCACUGGCCAAUUAUUAAACCAAAUCAAAACCCUCUGAGGGAAAACCAUGAUGGCCUCUUACAUCCAGAGUUCAGCACCUAGCCAAACUUAGCUGGCACUUUUCCCAUCUGUGUACUUGGUGCUAUGAAUGCUUUAUAUUACCUAUUGACUUAGCCUGCAUCGAUCCUCUAGAAUGUAUCGCACAAAUCAUUUUGCACUAAACUGCUGAAUCAAUAAA
Molecule: long non-coding RNA, 373 nt
Organism: Polypterus senegalus (gray bichir)
Lineage: Eukaryota; Metazoa; Chordata; Cladistia; Polypteriformes; Polypteridae
Exons: 3
Source: RefSeq, a predicted model, not a curated record